GAGCAGCGGCAUUGCAGCCACCCCGGCCUCUGCUGCAGUUGCCACUCUGGAUGUGGCCAUUCGGUGGGGCCUUUCCCGGGGAGCUCAGAGGCUUCUCUGUGUGGCCGUGGGACAGCUGGAUCGGCCAUCGGACCUGGCAGAUGAUGGGAGGAACCUGUGGCUGAACAUCAGGGGCAAGGAGGCAGCCGCCCUGUCCAUGUUCCAC
Long non-coding RNA from Myotis brandtii (Brandt's bat), 205 nucleotides. RefSeq lists it as uncharacterized. The transcript is spliced from 3 exons. The record is from RefSeq and is a predicted model, not a curated record. Lineage: Eukaryota; Metazoa; Chordata; Mammalia; Chiroptera; Vespertilionidae.